UGAUUGAUUGAUGCACAGAUAGAAUGGACUCCCUGCUCUAAUUGUUACAAGCUCUUCCCAAAUAAACCUGCCUUUUGAUGACCCGACAAAUUGAGGGAAAUCAUAAUGGAUAUAUACAAGGCAGAUACAG
Molecule: non-coding RNA, 130 nt
Organism: Monodelphis domestica (gray short-tailed opossum)
Lineage: Eukaryota; Metazoa; Chordata; Mammalia; Didelphimorphia; Didelphidae
Source: Ensembl